CCUACAAGUUAGCCGCCCCAACCCCACCAACUUCAUUUUCCCCCCCCCCAACUAAACCAUUCGCCAAACCAAGUAUCGGAGAGAGAACCGUUUCCCCGCGCAAUAGCCAACAGUACUACAAAGGAACACUGAAAGAACAUUAACUACUUAAGCACGAAACAGCAGGGCUCCAAACCCGUACCUCCUGCAUCAUGGUUUAACCAGUCCCCCCAGAUGAAGCGCACUAAAACCUGCCCCCCCGAACCCAGACGAUCUACCCCCGGGCAAUCAUUACGGAUGCACCCCCCCCUGUGGCAAAAGGGCGGGAAGACCUUGCGGUAGCGGUGAAAUGCCAAUCGCGCCUGGCGAUAGCUGGUUGCUCACUAAAUGAAUUUCAGUUCUACUCUAGCCUCGCCACCCCAGCCAUCCUCCUGACUUGUUCUAACCUAGAAGCUAGACAAGUAGGGACCAGCCUACUUGUAACCGGAUACAGCCCCCAUUGGAGAACCAGAGACCCAACACCCCUUCCCCCGUAGGCCUUUAAGCAGCCACCCAAAAGAACCGCGUCAAAGCGACCAAUAAGAAAAACAAGCGACGCCCCCUCAAUCCCCAACAAACACCUGAGCCACCCUAGAACCCCCCCCCCNNGGGGAACCACUGUUAAAACUAGUAAUUUGAACCCCUUCUCUCCCGCACACCCUUACACCGGCACGGAUUACGCCACCGGUAAUUACCAACCCCAACACACCCCAACACUGUCACCCCAACACAGGCGUGCUUUAGAGAACUUCGACAAAAUUUCGCAGAAGGAACUCGGCUAAUAUGCCCCACCUGUUUACCAAAAACAUCGCCUUUAGCCUAACAAGUAUUAAAGGUCCCGCCUGCCCAGUGAUCCACUUUAACGGCCGCGGUACUCUAACCGUGCAAAGGUAGCGCAAUCACUUGCCCCCCAAAUAGGGGCCCGUAUGAAUGGCUAAAUGAGGGCCUAACUGUCUCCUGCGAAAAGCCAAUGAAACUGCUCUCCCAGUACAAAAGCUGGGAUACCCACACAAGACGAGAAGACCCUGUGGAGCUUUAANNGGCCCCCCCCCCCCACAACCCAUGGUGCCUCCUUUAAGUUGGGGCAACUGCGGGGAAAAACCUAACCCCCGUGAACCAGGACCAACACUCCGCCCCAGGCCCACACGCCAAAGGCAAACCACCACAGACCCAGCACAGCUGAACACCGAACCAAGUUACCCCAGGGAUAACAGCGCCAUCCCCCUCAAGAGUCCAUAUCGCCAGGGGGGUUUACGACCUCGAUGUUGGAUCAGGACACCCCGGCAGUGCAGCCGCNNCCAACGGUUCGUUUGUUCAACGACUAAC
Molecule: ribosomal RNA, 1344 nt
Filed under: Phyllodactylus paucituberculatus
Lineage: Eukaryota; Metazoa; Chordata; Lepidosauria; Squamata; Phyllodactylidae
Description: partial 16S ribosomal RNA
Rfam family: Bacterial large subunit ribosomal RNA
Source: RNAcentral